This 2906-nucleotide ribosomal RNA is filed under the name Enterobacter ludwigii. RNAcentral's name for it is "23S ribosomal RNA". It matches the Rfam family "Bacterial large subunit ribosomal RNA". Lineage: Bacteria; Pseudomonadati; Pseudomonadota; Gammaproteobacteria; Enterobacterales; Enterobacteriaceae. The record is from RNAcentral.
GGUUAAGCGACUAAGCGUACACGGUGGAUGCCCUGGCAGUCAGAGGCGAUGAAGGACGUGCUAAUCUGCGAAAAGCGCCGGCGAGGUGAUAUGAACCUUUGACCCGGCGAUGUCCGAAUGGGGAAACCCAGUGUGUUCCGACACACUAUCGUUAACUGAAUACAUAGGUUAACGAGGCGAACCGGGGGAACUGAAACAUCUAAGUACCCCGAGGAAAAGAAAUCAACCGAGAUUCCCCCAGUAGCGGCGAGCGAACGGGGAGCAGCCCAGAGUCUGAAUCAGCUUGUGUGUUAGUGGAAGCGUCUGGAAAGUCGCACGGUACAGGGUGAAAGUCCCGUACACGAAAGCACACAGGCUGUGAACUCGAAGAGUAGGGCGGGACACGUGGUAUCCUGUCUGAAUAUGGGGGGACCAUCCUCCAAGGCUAAAUACUCCUGACUGACCGAUAGUGAACCAGUACCGUGAGGGAAAGGCGAAAAGAACCCCGGCGAGGGGAGUGAAAAAGAACCUGAAACCGUGUACGUACAAGCAGUGGGAGCCUCUUUUAUGGGGUGACUGCGUACCUUUUGUAUAAUGGGUCAGCGACUUAUAUUCUGUAGCAAGGUUAACCGUAUAGGGGAGCCGAAGGGAAACCGAGUCUUAACUGGGCGUUAAGUUGCAGGGUAUAGACCCGAAACCCGGUGAUCUAGCCAUGGGCAGGUUGAAGGUUGGGUAACACUAACUGGAGGACCGAACCGACUAAUGUUGAAAAAUUAGCGGAUGACUUGUGGCUGGGGGUGAAAGGCCAAUCAAACCGGGAGAUAGCUGGUUCUCCCCGAAAGCUAUUUAGGUAGCGCCUCGUGAAUUCAUCUUCGGGGGUAGAGCACUGUUUCGGCUAGGGGGCCAUCCCGGCUUACCAACCCGAUGCAAACUACGAAUACCGAAGAAUGUUAUCACGGGAGACACACGGCGGGUGCUAACGUCCGUCGUGAAGAGGGAAACAACCCAGACCGCCAGCUAAGGUCCCAAAGUCAUGGUUAAGUGGGAAACGAUGUGGGAAGGCACAGACAGCCAGGAUGUUGGCUUAGAAGCAGCCAUCAUUUAAAGAAAGCGUAAUAGCUCACUGGUCGAGUCGGCCUGCGCGGAAGAUGUAACGGGGCUAAACCAUGCACCGAAGCUGCGGCAGCGACACUAUGUGUUGUUGGGUAGGGGAGCGUUCUGUAAGCCGUUGAAGGUGUCCUGUGAGGGGUGCUGGAGGUAUCAGAAGUGCGAAUGCUGACAUAAGUAACGAUAAAGCGGGUGAAAAGCCCGCUCGCCGGAAGACCAAGGGUUCCUGUCCAACGUUAAUCGGGGCAGGGUGAGUCGACCCCUAAGGCGAGGCCGAAAGGCGUAGUCGAUGGGAAACAGGUUAAUAUUCCUGUACUUGGUGUUACUGCGAAGGGGGGACGGAGAAGGCUAUGUUAGCCGGGCGACGGUUGUCCCGGUUUAAGCAUGUAGGCGGAGGUUCCAGGUAAAUCCGGUUCCUUGUUAACGCUGAGGUGUGAUGACGAGGCACUACGGUGCUGAAGUAACAAAUGCCCUGCUUCCAGGAAAAGCCUCUAAGCAUCAGGUAACAUCAAAUCGUACCCCAAACCGACACAGGUGGUCAGGUAGAGAAUACCAAGGCGCUUGAGAGAACUCGGGUGAAGGAACUAGGCAAAAUGGUGCCGUAACUUCGGGAGAAGGCACGCUGAUAUGUAGGUGAAGUCCCUGCGGAUGGAGCUGAAAUCAGUCGAAGAUACCAGCUGGCUGCAACUGUUUAUUAAAAACACAGCACUGUGCAAACACGAAAGUGGACGUAUACGGUGUGACGCCUGCCCGGUGCCGGAAGGUUAAUUGAUGGGGUUAGCGGUAACGCGAAGCUCUUGAUCGAAGCCCCGGUAAACGGCGGCCGUAACUAUAACGGUCCUAAGGUAGCGAAAUUCCUUGUCGGGUAAGUUCCGACCUGCACGAAUGGCGUAAUGAUGGCCAGGCUGUCUCCACCCGAGACUCAGUGAAAUUGAACUCGCUGUGAAGAUGCAGUGUACCCGCGGCAAGACGGAAAGACCCCGUGAACCUUUACUAUAGCUUGACACUGAACACUGGUCCUUGAUGUGUAGGAUAGGUGGGAGGCUUUGAAGCGUGGACGCCAGUCUGCGUGGAGCCAACCUUGAAAUACCACCCUUUAAUGGCUGGUGUUCUAACGUAGACCCGUAAUCCGGGUUGCGGACAGUGUCUGGUGGGUAGUUUGACUGGGGCGGUCUCCUCCCAAAGAGUAACGGAGGAGCACGAAGGUUAGCUAAUCCUGGUCGGACAUCAGGAGGUUAGUGCAAUGGCAUAAGCUAGCUUGACUGCGAGAGUGACGGCUCGAGCAGGUGCGAAAGCAGGUCAUAGUGAUCCGGUGGUUCUGAAUGGAAGGGCCAUCGCUCAACGGAUAAAAGGUACUCCGGGGAUAACAGGCUGAUACCGCCCAAGAGUUCAUAUCGACGGCGGUGUUUGGCACCUCGAUGUCGGCUCAUCACAUCCUGGGGCUGAAGUAGGUCCCAAGGGUAUGGCUGUUCGCCAUUUAAAGUGGUACGCGAGCUGGGUUUAGAACGUCGUGAGACAGUUCGGUCCCUAUCUGCCGUGGGCGCUGGAGAAUUGAGGGGGGCUGCUCCUAGUACGAGAGGACCGGAGUGGACGCAUCACUGGUGUUCGGGUUGUCAUGCCAAUGGCACUGCCCGGUAGCUAAAUGCGGAAGAGAUAAGUGCUGAAAGCAUCUAAGCACGAAACUUGCCCCGAGAUGAGUUCUCCCUGAGACUUUAAGUCUCCUGAAGGAACGUUGAAGACUACGACGUUGAUAGGUCGGGUGUGUAAGCGCAGCGAUGCGUUGAGCUAACCGAUACUAAUGAACCGUGAGGCUUAACCUU